UUAGAGUUUAGUGUUUUGUUUAUCGUAUUAAUUUUUUUUUUGAAAACAUUUUUUUUUUGCAACUAUUAUUAUUUUUAUUUAUUUAUAUUUUUUUUUAAUUUUAAAAACGUAAUAUAAUUUGAGAAUAUUUUAUUUCCUUUUUUAAAAGUUAUCAGAUUUGAAAUAACUAAAUCUUAUUAGUUGGUGAAAACCUAUAAGUUCACCCUAUGGAGUGAAUCCAAGAAUAACUCUUUUAUUAUUAGUUGUGUUUUAUUUUUCUGUCUUUUUGGAAUGUUUUUAACGAAAGGAUGUGAAUAUUUAAUCAACG
Molecule: long non-coding RNA, 307 nt
Filed under: Brassica rapa (field mustard)
Lineage: Eukaryota; Viridiplantae; Streptophyta; Magnoliopsida; Brassicales; Brassicaceae
Description: long non-coding RNA (BRAP_LNC004436)
Source: RNAcentral